This 639-nucleotide long non-coding RNA is filed under the name Homo sapiens (human). Its description in RNAcentral is "HSALNT0342393". The record is from RNAcentral. Lineage: Eukaryota; Metazoa; Chordata; Mammalia; Primates; Hominidae.
GGUGAUUACAGCUAUAAAUUUUCCUCUAAGCACUGCUUUAUGGCUGCAUUCUACAAGUUUUGCUUUGUUUUCUGGAGUGGAUAUUCCUCUAAGAUCACCGCGGCAGGAGAGGAGAGAGACAGAAAGAGGACCUUGGCUCCUAACUGCUCCAGUCCAGAAGAGAUGCAGUCACUUUCUGCUCACAUCCUAUUGGUUGGAACUGGCCACAUGACUCCAGACUCCUGCACCUCCUCAGGUGGCCCAGCCCUGCCUCACCUUCUCAGGGAUGCUGGCUUGGACCCCACCCAAGAGAACAGUUGGCAUCUCCAUCACCUAGCCCAGGCCACUGUCCUGAGCUAAUCAGGAGCUACUCAUGGGCUCUCUUCCCUAGAAACUCCUCGAAGCCAGGGAGAAGGGCGGCUUCAUCUCCAGGUUCCCAGCACCAGGUGGCCCAGAAUGGGCUUUAAUAAGCUCCUGCUUGAAUGAGUGACACCCAAUGAUAAUGAUGGUUUGAAUAAAUAAAAGAAUGAAAGAAUGAAUGGGACUGAUUAGAAGAGGCACCAGGAACAAGGUGUCAAGAGACUAAUCUUGAAUCAUGAUUCAGUCACUUCCUCCCUGUGUGACAUGGAGCAAGUUGCUUUACCUCUCUGGGCUUCAUUU